GAGCUGGAAACGAAUUGGCGGCUUCCUCGUGUCCUUUGUACGCGGCGGAGCGGGGGUUCGGGACGGAGCGGGCGGACGGUGCGAGGCACGGGAGCAGGAGGCACUGAGACACGGGGGGCGAGACGGAGCCCUCGUGGGUAUGAGUGGGAGCCACGACGAGAGGAAACCAUCGGAGUCGGAUCUGCGAGCGGCUUCUGCUCGGAAUGCUAACAGGAUACCGGAAUGCUUGUGAAUAAACAACGCUGCGAGUGAAUCAAAAGCAUAGGGGGAAAAUAAGGAGAAAAACAAACCGGUACACCCGGAGAUUCUCUGCCUGGGGGCGAACACACGCAGCAGCCCGACCCUGGAAUUUGAGGAGGAAAAGUCCCAUCCGUGGAGCCCCGAGGGCUUCGAGCACCGGCGGGGAUGCGGCCGUGGGCAGCGCCCGGGAGCCCCGCGGAGACCCCGCGGCCGUACGGGUGGGGCGAUCCCCGAUGGAGCAUCGCCGGGAUCGGAUGCGAUGCGAAGGGCGCUCUCGGUAAAGGAAAGAGCAAAAGGAAGGGAAGAAGGCGCCUUCUGGUUGCAAUUACCUGCCUCAUUUGAAUAAUACCUUUGUCGUGAUCAUUAUCGAGCAUUCGUUAACGGUUUCCAUGUGGGAUCUCACGAGAGCGAGAAAAAAAAAAAAGAAAGAAAGAAAGAAAAAACAGAGAGAAAAAGAAAAAAUGGAAGUUGGGUCUGGCAAAGCGGCCCGCCAGGCCGGGCCGGAGUCGGCCGUGCUCCUUCCCCCGACGGGGCUCCCCCACGUCCACCACUGCAGCGGAAAGGGGUGGUCGGGACCCUCCGCCGCCCGCCUCGGUCCCGUCCGUCUGGCGGCGGUGCCUACGGGUUGGUCCCGCGCAGGAGGGCUAGGAGGGCUAUGGCAUUAUUUAACACAGACCCCCGGGGAAG
Molecule: RNA transcript, 927 nt
Organism: Gallus gallus (chicken)
Lineage: Eukaryota; Metazoa; Chordata; Aves; Galliformes; Phasianidae
Gene name: arginine/serine-rich protein 45-like
Exons: 2
Source: RefSeq, a predicted model, not a curated record